Molecule: ribosomal RNA, 449 nt
Filed under: uncultured bacterium
Lineage: Bacteria
Description: bacterial SSU rRNA
Rfam family: Bacterial small subunit ribosomal RNA
Source: RNAcentral
UCAAGAAACUUCCACAAUGGGCGAAAGCCUGAUGGAGCGACGUCGCGUGAUGGACGAAGUGCUUCGGCACGUAAACAUCUUUUAUGUGGGAUGAAAUUAUUGACAGUACCACAUGAAUAAGGGGCUCCUAACUCUGUGCCAGCAGGAGCGGUAAUACAGAGGCCCCAAGCGUUAUCCGGAAUCACUGGGCGUAAAGGGUGUCGAGGCGGUUGUAUUAGUCGUUCGUAAAAUCUACGAGCUUAACUUGUAGGCGGCGAACGAAACGGUACGACUUGAGGUUUGGAGAGGUGCGUGGAACUCACGGUGUAGGGGUGAAAUCCGUUGAUAUCGUGGGGAACACCAAGGCGAAGGCAGCGCACUGGCCAAAAUCUGACGCUCACACACGAAAGCUAGGGUAGCGAAGAGGAUUAGAUACCCCCGUAGUCCCUGAGCGGGCUGGCAAGGCGCAU